This 1483-nucleotide unclassified non-coding RNA is filed under the name Hevea brasiliensis (rubber tree). Lineage: Eukaryota; Viridiplantae; Streptophyta; Magnoliopsida; Malpighiales; Euphorbiaceae. The record is from RNAcentral.
UAUAUCUCCAUGGAUGUGCUCCUAAUGGUGAAGCUCGAUCAUCUCCACUUGAUUCCGGGCUGUAAGUUGCCAUCCAUUUAUUAGCAUGUCCACUACUGCGAUUCGCGGUAGUUUUUGGGCUUGGGCUUCUUGAGGCUUGAUAGAUUGCUGUUGUACUUGCCCCUGAACUUGAUUCAAGCCCCAAACCAUAGUGUGGCCCCUUCCUUUUCGAUACAUUCCAUUGAGCCGAUGGUGGGCUGCGAUGCUUAACAAGGCCUUGAUUCCUCACCUUCGCUUUUGUAGACUUAGUUGGGGUCAUGUAACUAGGGACAUUAUCAAAUUUUGAGUGAACAACCUUCCGGGCUGAGUAUGGGCUUGUUUCAGCUUGAUCAAAAGUGUGAUGGGCUGAGUUGAUGGUCUCCGAGUCCAAUGGCCCGGUGAUUAGGUCCAUUUCAACUGUCUUUUCAGACAUGUCACUUGUUGUGGAAGGUGUCACAUAGGAGCUGUCUCUUGGCACAAUGUGUCUUGAGUAUUGGUAUGGUUGCGAAGCCAUCCAUCGCUCCAGCCAACUCCAUCCCCAUUGUGACUUUUCGCGCUCAUUUCCAAAAUAUUCAGCGUCCUCACCAUGUGGAUCAAUGUGCAAUAGUUGUUGUUGCUUUUGCUGAUAGGCAUAGGCAUAAGCAAGAGCUCUUUCCCUUUUCAUUUCUGCAUCGAAUUUUCUCCUACUGCUUUCUUGGAUCUUAUCCAUGCUUUGGUUCCUGUUAUCCCAACAUUCUGUCCCUGACUUCUUAAUGGGGCUGGUGUGUUUGUGUUGUUGUUCUUCAGCAGCGUGUCUUCGUGCCUCUUCUAGCUUGCUCUCGAGCCUUUCCUGGACUAACUGGAGCCUCCUUGCUCGUACUCUGCCUUGUACACGUACCAAUGCUUGCAUACAUCUCAUGGUCAUUUGUGCUUGUUUUCGCACAUUAUGUCCUCUCACUAGUGCUUGCAGCCUCACCAAUCCUUUCAGAGCACGCAAAGCACGUCUUGCCAGAUAUCCCCUGUAGUAUGACUGAAUAAGCGUGGCAGCCCUUUCCUCUGUUGACUGCACGCGGCCAUAGCCACCAGCUAAUCUGACGACUUUAGCAGCCGCGUGAGCAGCUGCAACAGCUGCCUCAGCGGCUGCAGCCGUGGCAGCUGCAACAGCAAUGGCAUGGUUAUGAUCCUCAGCCACAGUAGACGAUGAAUCAACGUUACUCCCUCCAUUACUUAUAAAAUCUGGAGAACUCCCUACUGGAAAAUGUUCAAGUGACACCACUUCAGGAGGUUCAGGUUGCUGCCAUUUACUGUCUAAUGUUUCCUUCUUCUUAUCAGGUGAAUCUUUAGGAGACUGUUUAAAAACUUUCUUAACAGAUGAAAACCAACCACUUCCUUUCUUGCCCAUAUUUCAGCCAAAAGAAUUGACCUUUCUGUCACAAAAAACACACAUAGAUUCAACAGAUCAUAAGCAUCAAGACGACAACAAAAG